AGCACCAUUCUAUGUUUGGGAAUUUUCCCCGUUCCUGGUUAUACUGUAGUGCAAAAGAAUUCCUGGCUCUUUAUUACACAGUGGACUUGUGCCAUUUUGCUGUUGCUUUAUGGAGUUGAGGAACAUUA
This 128-nucleotide small nucleolar RNA is filed under the name Nannospalax galili (Upper Galilee mountains blind mole rat). RNAcentral's name for it is "Small nucleolar RNA SNORA46 (ENSNGAG00000007633.1)". It matches the Rfam family "Small nucleolar RNA SNORA46". Rfam says of the family: ACA46 is a member of the H/ACA class of snoRNA that guide the sites of modification of uridines to pseudouridines. The record is from Rfam by way of RNAcentral. Lineage: Eukaryota; Metazoa; Chordata; Mammalia; Rodentia; Spalacidae.